RNAcentral lists this long non-coding RNA (15570 nucleotides) under Triticum aestivum (bread wheat). Its description in RNAcentral is "long non-coding RNA (TAES_LNC003838)". The stretch from base 4511 to 4635 matches the Rfam family "MIR1120/MIR1122 microRNA precursor family". Lineage: Eukaryota; Viridiplantae; Streptophyta; Magnoliopsida; Poales; Poaceae. The record is from RNAcentral.
GAUGCUUUUGUUUAUGAAAUUUUAUUAAGGCGGGCACCUUUGGGGACAAUAUCGGUCCACGAUACUCCAUGCUUGACUACGCAUUCAACAAGGGUCAUCAUGCCCGUUUCAUAGAGAACGGAGAGGUAAGUAAUAUGAAUGAAAUAUUGAUAAAUUUUUUCGGAUUGAUGAAAAUAAUUUCCUAACUUUUGGUGUUCACUUUUUGACAGAUGCUCCAGCCACUGCGCAUGAGGGGGCACGGGGUUCAUGGGCAUAUGGAAUAUGACGAGCUCUACGCGCCGUUCUUCAAGUGAUCCCGGCUAUUGAUUUUGUGUUGCAGUUCAAGCGUCAGCCGCCGAUGCUUGUCCAUGCAGCUCUGACAGCUCUGAUUGACCGGUGGCGAUCGGAGACCCAUUCUUUCCAUCUCCCAUGCCGGGAGAUGACGAUGACCCUCGAGGAUUGGUCGAUGAUUACUGCCAUGCCGAUCGAGGGUCAUGCACUGACCGGGCGAGUGGAGAGGACCAACUGGCGGCAGAGGGUUACCACCCUCAUCGGCGACUGCCCCGAGGCUAAGGGUAACCGGACAUCCGGUGUGCCGUUGCCCUGGCUCUCAGAGCACCGGAAGACAUGCCCCCAAGACGCCGAUGAGCCGACUGUGGAGUGGUAUGCGAGGGCCUACCUGUGGUAUCUUCUCACGGAGACCGUGUUUCCAGACGGAUCCGGGAACUCUGCCAACUGGUCGUAUCUGUUCUUCCUAGCUGACUGGGAUGCAGGGUACAGUUGGGGGACCGCAUCUCUUGCCUACCUAUACCGUUCGGUAAGAGAGUAUCUAAUUGCCUACCUACGAAAGUAUGUCCAUGCCAUUUUGUUAUAUCUGAUCCUCAUUUAAUGUUUUGCAGCUUGACGACGCAACCCAGAGGACGGGAGACAAGUCCAAUAUGGGUGGCUUUGUCUGCGGCCUCUCCAUUUGGAUGUGGGAGAGGCUGCCGGAAGGGCGUCCGGAGAAGCUGCCAAGACGCCCAUGGGGUGCCUAUAGCGAGGACGGCGACGCUGCUCGAAACCCCACCGUAGCUUACGAGUGGGACGUUGUCAAACUCUACACGGGCCUAAACAAGACUUCGUACAAGACAUACACCAAUGAGUUGGACGCUUUGACGCAUUGGCAGGUAUAUGAACUCGCUCAACACCUUCCUCUUUGAUUCCACUUGGACCGAGAGUGGGAACUUAUCAACGUAUAUGUAAUAGGUAAACUGGUGGCCGUAUCAUGACCAAGAGUGGGACUUUGAUCUGAACGUGAUGUGCGAUAAGGACCGUGGUCUCUGGCGGUGCAUCGUGCCCAUGAUCUGUGUGUACGCCGUCGAGUGGCACUUGCCACACUGCCUGGCCACGCAGUUUGGGGUGUAUCAGCAUACCCCACCGGGCCCGCCCACCGAUACCGGCGGCCACGCGCUCCACAUGUGAGCGAUUUGUUCUUCGUGCCCAUGAUUUCAUUGCGUGGCGACUUUAUUACGAUGUUUGUUGUUGCUAAUGCCUUGCAGGAUGAGCCAGCAGAAGAAUCAGUCAAUCACAGACUGGGGAGAGGAGCAUAAAACUCAUGUGACGGAGUGGAACCGAUGGAGGUACUAGAAAGACGGGGAGAGGAAAGUGACUGACUGGGAUGCUUACCUGGAGCGACACAUGAAGUGGUACGAUGAUGGCCAGAAGCACCGUCCUCAUCUCAGGCCUCGGUGGACGGCGGAGGACAUCACGGAGUUGGAGAGGGAUGACCCCGAGGAAGAGGCCUACCAGACCGGCAUCAGAGACAUGCAAAGUGGAUUUAGGGAGUUUGCACCCCUCAUCAACAGAGUGGUAAGUUUGAACCGACGGUUGUAUUUAAAUUAUUGUAUUCAUCAUCGUGACUGACUUAUGCCGUUGCAGUCUGGUGAGCUGAACAGAUGCAUCUUUGAAGCCUCAUAUGCACUAGGUGAUGCCCCCGAGAGCGUACAAUCUGAGAACAAAAUGAGGGGGACGAUGAAAGUACAAUUUCAGCCUCCUCGGAACAGAUGCAUCUUAUUCACUUGCAAUCAUAAACCCGAUACUUAUUAUGCCCUUGUUUCUUUGUGAGUGCAGAAGUUCGUGAAGCGUUGUCGCAAGCUGGUAGGCCUGCUUGGGUGUGCUGGAGUUGGGUCAGUUGAAGCUUAUCAUCGCGGAGCCACACAGGGUCACAUCGCCUCAUCGAGCCAUGGUCCCUCGUCGUCUAGGUUGGUUGAGGAGGGGGAGGACGAGGAUGAGGAGGAGGAUGAGGAGGAGGCCACAAAUGAAGGAGAGGAGGAGGAGGCCUAUCAUGAGGAAGAGGAGAAUGAGAGCGAUGGUGAGGAGGAGUACGAUGAAGAUUACGGACCUCCAACAACUCAAUCAUCUCAACCAUCUCAGCUGCAGAAGAGGAAUCCGAAGAAGAAGGAUUUGCUGAGUCCGGACCCUUUCCAGAGACCGCUUCCUUGACGGUCCAAGAAGAACACUGAAGAGACUCGUUCAAAGAGGAACGAGUACCGUGCCUCCAAGAACAAGAGGGGAAGGCUGAAUUAAAUUCUGAUAUUCGAUACUUGACUGUAGUUGAAAAGUCUAGUGUUUGUGAAACUAUGUGUUUGCUAUUUGAACUAUGUGUUUGAUAUUUGUGAAACUCCGUUUGCUAUGUGGAACUAAGUAGUUGAACUUUGUUUGCUUAUUAUGCACAAGUUUAUGUGGAAAUUCGUAUGUGAUGCCCAAGUUUAAUUGUUGUUUGAGAUAUGUUAUUUUGACUCUAUAUCAUUGCUGUUUUUGGCUCUAUAUCAUCGUUUGAGAUCUGUUAUUUUUUGAAAAGAAGAAAGAAAUUGAACUUGAUAUAGGCAAGACCCUACCGCCAAGGACUCUGGCGAUAGGAUCAGACAGCCUACCGCCAGCCCCUGUGGCGGUAGGGUGACCGUACCGCUAGGGCGCUCGCAUUUUUCAUUACAGAAGGUUUUCGAGGCAAAAACCCUGGCACACCCUACCGCCAGGGGAGCUGGCGGUAGGGUUAGACAGCCUACCGCCAGGUUCCCUGGCGGUAGGGUGCUAAUCCACGUCAGCACGUGAAGACGGCUGCCGCCCCCUCCAUCGCACCCUACCGCCAGGGUCCCUGGCGGUAGGCUGUAUAACCCUACCGCCAGUUCCCCUGGCGGUAGCGAAAGGGUCAAAUCCCGAAUUUUUUCUGAACCGAGGUCAGAUCCUGAAUUCGUAUCCCAAAAGGGUCAAAACACGAAAUUUUACCCCUUAGAGGCAGCUUUCCCUCCAAACACUGUGGAUACUCUAAGGAAGAAUGAUCACAUAGAGUAUACGAUGGUCUUAUAAUAUUCCAAAUUCUUUAAAGGUUAUACCAAUUGCAAUGCUACUAAUUCAUUCCUUCUUAGAAAACUUUUUCUUACGAAAAUUUCACUAUCAUAUGCUUAUUCUUGCAUAUUAUAAAAAAAUGACAAUUUACUUGUAAAUUGUCUGAAAAAUUUGUCAUUGUUUGUUUUAAAAAAUCAUUCUUUUCUUAAACUACCAAUGUCACUAAUUCACUUUCCUUAGAAAAACAUCAUUUUGUGUGUGUGUAGAUACACACACAAGUACUAUACUAUGUGUGUGUAAAUUACAUUGGAGUGUAAAAAUUGCAAUAUUAUAUGCUUAUUCUUUGCGUGUUAUUAAAAGUGUAAUUUAGGUGUAAAGUUUUGUGAGGGUAAUAUCAAUGCCACUAAUUCAUUCUUUCUUAAAAAACUUUAUUAUUGUGAUUUGAUUUUAGUUUUUUGUUUUAUUUUCUUUAUUUUUAAAGGCUAAUACCAAUGUCACUAAUUCAUUCUACCUUAUAAAACUUUUUUUGCUUUUAUUUACCUAUUUAUUUUUAUUUUUUUCUUGUGUCUUACAAGGUAUCGAGUAUGUUUCUGUUAUGUUUCAUACUAAGCCCAAGUAUGUGGUGGUCUUGUGUUUUGUGAUUGCAAAGGGGCAAGUGCUUAGGUCUAUCUUAUUUGUUUUGUUUCUUUCUUCAGGAAGGGUAGUAGUCUGCCUUAGAUUCUCUCUUCUCUACAAAGCCUUCUGUCCACGUGUUAUUUUGUUUUGUUUCUUUCUUCAGGAAGGCUAGUAGGCUACCUAAAAUUCUUCCUUCUCUAGAAAACCUUCUAUGCAUCAGGUUGCCUCAAAAGAUUUCUUCUCUAGAAAUCUUCCGUCUACUAGAAGAACCUUUCUCUACAUUUUGUUAAUUCAAUUUCAAUGAUCCAGGCAAUGUUUUUUACAAGAUAAUUAGUCUUGCAUGUUUGUUUUUCAAUUUCUAUGACCAAUGCCACUAAUUCUUUCCUUCUGAGAAUUUCUUUUUACGAAAAUCCCACUAUUUUGGACUUAUUCUUGCAUAUUAUAAAUAAUCACAAUCAUUGUAAAUUGUCUGAAAAUGUUGCCAUUAUUUGUUUAAAAAAGAUUUGAAAUGCUUGAGCAUCUUUUUUUAAAUGUCACGAAUAUUUUUUUUAUGGUGCGAGAUAUUUUUUAAAUACUCAAACACUUUUCUUACAUUGUACUCCAUCCGUCCGGAAAUACUUGUCAGAGGAAUGGAUGUAUCUAAAUGUAUUUUAAUUCUAGAUACAUUUAUUUUUUUGCAUAUUUCCGACAAGUAUUUCCGGGCGGAGGGAGUAUAAACAUUUCUUAAGUCUGACACGGAUAUGUUUUGACACGGAUAUGUUUGUAAAAUACGUGGUUUUUUUAAUGUCAUCAUGACAUCCUUGAUCUUGAGCCGUAUGUUUGUAAAGUACGUGGGUUUUUUAAUGUCACCGACCGCCUCUCCCCGCUCAGCAACAGCAACUGCGCGGGCAUGGCGGCCGUCGCCCUGCUGCGGCCCCCCGGCGUCCCCUCCCGACUUUACUUGGUGCUCGCUCGUCGCGCUAGACCAGGGGGCGCCUGCUCACCACUCACCAGCAAGCAAACAGGUCGCCAUGACAUGCCGUCCAGCAACGGCGCGCUGACGUCCAGCAAGCUUAAUGGAAUUCGUUCGUGAUUAAGGUUUUUAUGAAUCUUUUUGGAUUUUUAGGAUCGCGUACCAGGCCGGGGCACUCCAUCGAUCGCGCCAACGAAAUAUCUGUGCGCGCGCCCGCCCGCGAGAUUAGAUAUUUCCCCGCCACGCCAGAAAAGGCCCAGACACUUGGGUUGGCGCCGCUUUUGCCCCCUCUCCCCUCCCCUAAUAUCUGCAGAAAUAGCAUCGCAAACGUCUGUGUGGCUCACUCAUUCAUCCUCUGCCUGCUUCCAUCCGUUGCACUGCUACUAUCUCUAUAUAUCCCACUCCAGGCCGAAUCCCGGACCCAUUCAUUCAUCAGUUCCUUCUGUUCAGACUUCAGAGAGGUCAAGUAUACCGCGAUCCACCGGUCAAGGCGGCCGUCGGCAUUGCCCAGGUAACAUCUAACCCGCCACCUGCUCUACUUUCUCAUUUUGUUUUUUGUAAGUGGUCACUGGAUCCGUGUUUCCGUCGCUAUGAUUGGCAGGUCCGUGUGAUGUUUGAUUGUUCUUUCUUUCUUUCACAAGGUAACCGGAUUACAGACUUGAUGUCGGCGGGCUGGACGGAUGAGAGGCAUGCAAUUUAUAUAAGGUCCCUAGAAGCGUGUUUCGUCCGCGAUCAACUGUACAAACACUUGGUUCCAUUGAACAAUGCGGCAGAGCCAGGGCCUUCAAGCCCUUCUCUAAAAAAUUAUCAACUCCACAACCACGGUCACGAUGCCAAAAAGAAAGAUCCGGGUACCAAUGGGUUCAAGGUUCUCCAAGGUGGAGUGUGGAGGAAAGUCGAAUUUAAGAGGAGGAGCAAUGCUUGUGCUCAAGUGCGGCCCAAACGGCGCCUGCCUGGAAACCCCUGGAUUCAGUAAGUGAUCGGGAAUCCGGUACCUGGACUAUCCCUAGGAGCACCCCGUUGUUCCAUGGAAAGGAAUUGGGAGCUCGCAAGGGAGAAGAUCUUCUCGAUGAAUAUGCAGGUAACUAGCUCAGUUACCUCAUCUAGCGUUUGGUGUGCACCAUCAUACAUCCAUGACACACGUAUGUUUUUGUAGCAUCAACUGAUUUUGUGGAAGAAGCAUCAACGUAGAAAAGCCGGUUGUGCUUAAGCUCCAAGAUAUUGUAUGGUUCUUUUCUGUCUGUCUGUAUGUACCCAUGUUAUCCAUAAGCUGACAACAGAUGGUUAGGGACGUUGUUGAGUUCUGGUAGUAACCAAGUUCUCAAGCAGCAUCCUGUGGUGAACUAAAUUUCUGAUGCCAUGUUUCUCUCUGUUGAGGUCUCUGAUCAGAACUUUGCUGAGGACGAGGCACAAGUUGAUGCGGAAUCAAGGAGAUUAAGCACGUACUGCGCCCGAAUGAUCAAGUGAAUUUACAGGAUUAAUUAACAUAGUCUGUUGCUAGUGUUGAGAAAAGCAACACACCCAAAGAGCUUGUUUGCUACCUCAAGACCUGUUGGAAUUUGGAAGCGAUGAUGCUCUCAAGUAAAGCAUGGAAGAGUAUUUACUCAGAAACUGUGCAACUAGUAUUUACUCAGAAGUGUUCACGAUUUAACAAAUUAGACUCUUGUUAUGUAUCUCUCUAUUUGGCGAAUAUAUUUGACACGAUUUUAUUCCAUUCUAGUGUCCCAUAAUGAGGAUCAAUAGGUCACUCACUACUUAUUACCAUAACAGUCGAUAGUAAAUUAGUAAUAUUUCUUAUUUUUUUGGGUGUCAAGCUUUAUCUUUGCUCAUUCUCACGGAGGUGCUGCUCAUAGAGAUAACAACAUGACACCCCGCGUGUUGCCACCAGAAUAGGCUGCGAUAUAUUUUCAUGAGCUUGGAUUGUAUGAAAAUAAAUAUUUGAAUUGAUAAUAUAAUAAAUAUGUUUGAUCAUAUCUUAUCUGGACUCGGUUACCGUUAGGGAGUUCGAGAAAAAACCCACAGAAGUUUAUGAGAGAAGAUAACGAGUAUGAGGCACACAUGCAUUGAUGUAUGCAUGCAAUUAAUGUCUAAAGCUUAUUGGGUAAAGAGGUGGCAUAGUUGGGUAUGCUCUAAAAUAGUUAGAGGUGACUAGCUAUUUAGAUAUAGAAGAUAUGUGCUCAUAGGGAUUGCGAAAAAGUGGCCCGAUUGUUUUUCCUUUCCCCUUUUCAUCUUUUGCCCCAUGUACAAUCUCCUACUUAUCCUUUGAAAUAAAACACUUUAGCCAUAUGUAAGUUGCUUGUUAAAUUUGGGUAGGUCGAUUUUUUCUGACCAUUGAUUCUUUUAUCAAGAUUUGUGUUGUAUUUUCUUCCCCUUGUGUUGUUUUCGAGACUUCUUCAUUCGAGGGUCAGUCAGUUUUCUUAUUGUUGUGAAGCCCGUUACCCGCUGACUGGCUUUUUUUCCUUCUAUUUUAUGUGUUUUACUUUUUCUUCUUUAGUCGAUUUUUAUUGUUUCUUAAUGGAUAUUUUUGGGAUGUUGUGUGAGUGUAAAUGUAUUCACAGAAGUAAUAUACAAUGUGUGUGUAACUUAUACUAGAGUGCAAAAAUGGCAAUAUUAUAUCUUUAUUCUUUGCAGAUUACCAAAAGUGUAAUCCAAGUGAUCAAUGCCACUAAUUCAUACUUCUAUCAAAAAAUUAAUUUUAUUAUUUCAUUUUCUUUCUUCUUUAAGGGUUAUACCAAUGUCACUAAUUCAUUUCUUCUUAGAAAAGUUUUUUUGGCCAAAAUUUCUCUAUUAUAUGCUUAUUCUUACAUAUUAUAAAAAAAUCAAAAUUUAUUUCUAUGUUGUGUGAAAAUUUUGUCAUUAUUUAUUUUAAAAUAUUAAUUUAAAACAACAUUUUUUAUUUUUUUUGUAUAUACCGGAGCACCAAAAUUGUGCUAUUAUAUGAUUAUUCUUUGCAUAUUAAAAAAGUGUAAUUUUAGUGCAAAGUUGUGCAAGGAGUGAUAUUUCAUUUUAUUUUUCGUAAAGAGUAAUACCAAUGCUACUAAUUCAUUCUUCCUUACAAAACUUCAUUAUCAUUUUUGUUGCAGUUCUUAUUUCAUUUUCUUUCUUCUUAAAGGGUGAUACCGAUGCCACUAAGUUAUUCUUCCAUAGAAACUUUGUUUUUGUCUUUUGUAUUUUGUCUUACAGGGUAUCUAGUAAGUUUCUGUUAUGUUUCAUACCAAGCCCAAGUGUCUGGUGGUCUACUGUUUUGUGGUUCUAAUGGGUUGAAUAUAAGGAUGGCAAUGGGUCGGGUUUGGAUCGGGUUGAACAAUAUCAAAUCCAUAUCCAUAUCCAUGAAGACAGUCUUUGCCCAUCCAUGAAAAAAUCCACGGGUGAAAAAUUGUGUCCAUGUCUAAACCCGAUGGAUAUCCAUACCCAAUGGAUAUCCAUUGAGUCCUCUCUAGACAUAUAAAUAAGACAUAACACAAUGUUAACAUAAGCUCUUCCAUUCUUCACUUCGUGGCAUGCUAGGCUUCACUUAUGGUAAAUCAACCUCCACUAACAACAUAAGAUCAUUUAGUACUUUUCUAACAGAUGAGAAUGACGAGUCAGUUAACAAGGAGAUAAAAAUAAAGGAAGGGCGUUGGGGUAUGUUACACAGGGUAUUGAAUGUCAAUUAAUAAAACUUAUGACAGGGAUUGUGUAAUUUCUUUUGCAUGUUUUGAAUAACAAAGUGUAAAAUUGCACUAGGACAUGUAACUGUGGGGGUGGGGAUAGCCGAUUUUUGCCAAUUAAGUCAUACUAUCGGGUCAGGUUUGGAUAUACCCAUGGGUACAAGAUUAUAUCCAUGCCCUACCCACGAGCAAUCGGGUCGGGUUUGGGCGCUGCCCAUGGACAGAAAAGCAUAUCCAAACCCUAUCCAUUCGGGUCGGAUAUCCAUGAAUAUCCAUGUCCAUGGAUAAAAUUGCCAUCCUUAGUCGAAUACUUGAGUUUAUCUGUUAUUUUGCUUUGUUUCUUUCUUCAGAAAGAGUUGUAGGUUGUCUUAGAUUCUUUUUUCUCUAGAAAGCCUUCUGUCCAUCUGUUAUUUUGUUUUCUUUCUUCAGGAAGGAUAGUAGGCUUCUUAAAAUUCUUCCUUCUCUAGAAAACCUACUUCCAUCAUGUUGCCUUAAAUUCUUUCUUCUCCGUAAAUCUUCCGUCUACUACCACCACCUAUCUCUAUGAUUUGUUGCUUCAAUUUCUAUCAUCCAUGCAUUGUUUUUCACAAGAUAAUUAGUCUUGCGAUUUUUUUAUUUCUAUGAUCCGUCGCUAUCAGAUUAGCCGAUAUGUAGCCCAUGUACUAUUUCCGUGGGCUCACCUUCGUUUUUGUGAGCAAAGACUUGAGUUUGGCUGCUGCAAAAAGACCGGUAGUCAGAGAAUUUAGGUCAUGCAUUUUUUAUUGUACAUGAAUGUUUCUCUCUCCGUCUGAUACGGAAUUAAUGGCAAAUUAAAAUUGACUGGCCAAAAUUCUAAAUUCAGUCACCCGACCCUUAAACGGCCCUGAAAUAAAAAAAAACUUGGGUCUUGUUCUCUCCUGUCAUCUUGGACAUGAUCAAAGGGCCAUACAUUGCGAUGCCUUGGGAGGUUGACACUGAUCGAAUUGAAGAGUUGCGGGUGCCUGAGCGGCAGCUCGACCAGCUAACUCACUCAUCUACGGAAAUUUGUUUCCGCAUACCCCACAACAUUUUCAAACCCAACGUUGAUGAGGCUCUCAUCGUCCUCCCUCUGGAUUAGCUCGCCGUUGCAGAAGACCUUGGAGUCAAACACGAGGACGCGGUAGUGCAAUACUCAUGGUCUGCUAGGUUGACUGCCAUGACCUUUGAACUCGAUGCCACGCACGAGGAAGAGGUCGCCCUUGUGGACCAGGGGUCAUGUCUCAUGUCUCCACGAAGUAGGGCCUGAGGUAGGACUGUAUGGGGUCGUUGGUGAUGCCCUCGACAGUGUCGUUCACAAGUAGGGUAUGCAUGUGCCUCCCAUACGCGGAGUGGCGCACUGGUGCACGGGCACGACGUCGGCGAUGCGGACACGCAAGCUAGAGCGGUCACCAAUCUAGUUGGCCAAACCAAACCAAUAAAUUGGAGAAGAAAUACGAGGCUAUAUUAAUCAUGCAUGCAUAAAAGAGUUCAGAGAAAACUUAAAUAACAUUCAUGGAUAGAUCUGGUCAUAAACUCACAAUUCAUCGGAUCUCAACAAACACACCGCAAAAAGUCAUUACAUCAAAUAGAUCUCCAAGAACAAUAAAAAAAACAUUGUAUUGAGAAUCAAAAAGAGAAAAGAAGCCAUCUAGCUACUAACUAUGGACCUGCAGGUCUGUAGCAAACUACUCACGCAUCAUCGGAGGGCAGCAAGGAUGAUGAAGAACCCCUAUGUGAUCGUUUCCCCUACGACAGAGUGCCGGAAAGGGCCCCGGAUGGGAUCUCUCGAGAACAGAGGCUUGCGGCGGCGAAAAAAGUAUUUCGUGGACUCCUCGGUAGGUUUCCUGAUUUUAGAGUAUUCAUAGAGGUGGAGUUAGGUCAACGGAAUUUCGUGGGCCCCACUACCCACCAGGGCGCGUCAGGGGCCUGUGGUGCGCCCUGGUGCCUAGUGGGCCACUCCUCCAUCUUCUCGUGGGCUCCAGAAACUUCCCGGGUCUUUUAUUGACAGAAAAAAAUCUCCAAAAAGUUGCGUGGCAUUUGGACUAUCACUAGGCACUAAGUAGGUUGGUCCCAAAAAAUUAUAUAAAGUUGCUUGUAAAUCUAUAUAAAACAUCCACGAUUGAUACUAUAAUAGCAUGUACCAAUCAAAAAUUAUAGAUACAUUGGAGACGUAUCAAUGGUUGCGGCGGUGCCUUGCGCUCGAGGGCCGUCGUAUCCGAGGAGGAGCGAGGGGCGAUACAGCAGGCGCGGUACGACCGACGCAAUGUUGGUCGCCGCUCCGCGUUUGCUAAGAGCAUCGUGGCGCUGUAAUGGGUCCGAAACCUCGCUGCCACGUGGGCGCUCGACCGCUCCGUCACCACCCAGAGACGAUGGUCGCCGCCUUGAUGGCAAGCUCGCCAAGAUCGACGAGGAAUGGUCGCUUAGCGACUCCUCUGCCAACGUCGGCAGGGGCAAGGCUGCCGCCAUCGGCAGUGACCAAGGCGGCCUUCCGGACCAUGCAACAGGAGGCGGACCGGCUCCUCUGUGAGCGGCAGGCAGCCGCCGAAAAAGGUUGUUGUGGCCCUCCGACGCCCUUUAGCUGCUGGAGGGACGACGACGACACAUACGGCGAUGACAGUGCGGCAGGACAAGGCGGCUGCGCAUGUGAGGUGGUACGUUUUAGGUAAUUUUUUAUUGUUUUAGUUAAACGAUCGAAAUAUCUUUUGUUUUAUAUAAAUUAUAUCUGAGCUUGAAUGAAAUCGGUCGAUUUUGUUUGAAUUUCGUCCAGUUUGUUUAAACCCUUUUUAAAAUGUAUGCGGGUAGCGCUGGAUUACCGCUUACCGGGUGUCCAAAUCGCCCCGGCGCAAAACCAGGUGCGUGCGUGCACGGCAGUUCUGAUUUUCCAACGCCGAAAGCGACGACCUUUGUGUUUUCUAUUCUCCUGAUAACAAAAGCCGCCGCCCAGUCCGAGCCUGACUGGAUCCGAGCCCUCCCCGGUGUCGCCAUCAACCCCGCCGGGCCGGCGAUUUGUCCCAGCUAUCUAAUGGCCGAGCCGCUCCCCUUUGACCGGAGUUCGGGAGUCCGGAUCCAGCGGCCGGCUGACCUAUAAUAGUACGGGGAGAGGAGCUGAGAGGGGAAAAGGCAGGAGUCCGUCGGCGAUGGGCGGGUGGGGCUGCUUCUGCUGCGGCGACCUGUUCGGCGCCGGGGGAGAAGCCGCGGUCCGGCUGCCGGAGCCGUUCCAGCUGCCGGCGCCCUUGCUCGCAUGGCCGCAAGGUUUCUGACGCCUUCUCCUCUCUUAUCAGUUCUUGAAUCAGUUCGUGGAUCGUUUUCUUAUGACCAUUGAUUGAUGAUUGGCCUGAUGCAGCUUCAUGAUUGAAAGUAGUACUCGCUUGUAUGAGUCCCUACUUAAUUUGUUGAUUACUAAGUACUUUCUUGUUCAAUUAUUAUCAUCAUUGACUGUUCUGUUGUUUAUUUCUUUCCAAAAGGGGAGUUUCAUACGGUGAUAACAAUACAAUUUAUCCUGAUUAGUUUAUAAUUCUGUCCUACUAUGCUAUGCAGAUUCCACUUCCCGGUAUAUAUUAUUGAAUGAACACAGUGAUUAAUAAAUCUAUAAAAAGAUGGAUUCCCUCAAGGGAAUUUCUUGUACAUAGCUUGUCGUAGUGGGUACCUCUUGUUACUUGCGCUUGAAGUGGCUUAGAUAGGAUCACCAUGCUUUACUUGGAAGGCAUAUCAUUUUAGAAGGUGGCGAUCGUAGCCUCAAAGGUAUUCUUUGUGGGGCAAGAGUAAUUUGUGACCAUAUAUCAUGAGAACUUUAGCUGGCUCAUUCAAGAAGCGAAAUCUGUAAGUUUAAGUUUGUACAGGCCACCCGGACUCGUUACUUUUUAUUUUUUGUUGUGUCGGAGUUGCAAUUUCCUUCAUCUUUCUUUAGUAUAGAGCGAAUAAUUGCAUGUGCAAAACAAUGUAUUUGUUUUUCAAACUGAUUGUUGUUUGCUUUGCCAAAUAUAUUUGCUUUGCUGAACACUUGGACCUUGUAGUAACUUUGUCUGGCAACUACUUUACAGGACGGGACUUCGCAAAGGGCGUGAUUUGCAUAGGAGAACUUGAUAUUGCAAAUAUUACCCAAUUCCGGAAUAUAUGGAGCUACUCUGGAGCUACGUUCUAUGAGCCAGAAGAGGUUCCUGAUGGUUUCCACUGCCUUGGCCACUAUGCCCAACAAAAUGACCGGCUUUUACAGGGUUCCCUUGUUGUUGCAAGGGAAGCGGCUAGCUGCCAGUUAAUCAAUAGCAGGCCCGCUCUUGAGAAACCAUUAGAUUACACCCUCGUUUGGACUAAUGCUGGCGUGUAUGAAGAUGACAAUAGUGAAUGCGGUUGCUUCUGGUUGCCAUCACCCCCUGAGGGUUAUGAAGCCCUUGGCUAUGUGGUUACUAGAGGACCAAAGAAGCCCUCACUGGAGGCGGUCCGGUGUGUGCGACAAGACCUCACGGACCCAUGUGAAAACUUUAGGUCAGUCGUUAAUGUGGAACGUACAUGCCAAGUUUGGAAGACGAGGCCUUGCCACCGAGGGACAGCAGGACGAGGUAUACCUGUUGGUACAUUCUUCUGUGAAACAAAUUCAGUUAACAGUCAGGAAUCAGGCAUUCCCUGCUUGAAGAACUGUGACCCGAAUUUGAGAGCCAUGCCUGAUCUAGAGCAGAUUCAUGCACUAAUCAAGCACUAUGGCCCAACUGUUUUCUUCCACCCACAAGAGAAAUACUUGCCGUCAUCGGUUUCUUGGUUCUUCGAGAAUGGUGCUACACUGAACAAGAAAGAUAUGAAAAUGGGAGAUCCAAUACUUGCUGGGGGCUCAAACCUGCCUGCUGGUGGGACAAAUGAUGGUGAGUACUGGAUUGACCUCCCCGAUGAUGAUACGCGUGAGUUUGUCAAAGUAGGUAAUUUGAAGAGUGCCGAGCUCUAUGCUCAUGUUAAACCGGCUCAUGGAGGGACCUUCACCGACAUUGCCAUGUGGGUGUUCUGCCCGUUCAAUGGGCCAGCGACGAUAAAGGUUGGACUUGCAAGCUUUGCUCUGCAGAAGGUUGGCAGGCAUACGGGAGACUGGGAGCAUUUCACCCUCCGCAUAAGUAACUUCUCUGGAGAGCUCUCGUCUGUCUACUACUCAGAGCACAGCGGGGGCGGAUGGGUGGAUGCUUGCGAUCUGGAGUUCAUCUCAGGAAACAAGGCGAUCGUGUACUCAUCAAGGAAUGGGCACGCAAGCUAUGCGCACCCUGGCUGCUACCUGCAGGGCUCUGAAAACCUCGGCGUCGGCUUAAGAAAUGACGUCGCACGGAGCGAGCUGUCAAUCGAUUCUAGCACGAGGUACAAGAUCAUCUCCGCGGAGUACCUGGGGGACGCCGUGGCGGAACCGUGCUGGCUGCAGUACAUGAGGGAGUGGGGCCCGACCGUGACGUACAACUCACGGUCAGAGGUGGACACGGUGCUUAGCUUCCUGCCGUUCUUCCUCCGGUUCACGGCGGAGGCCAUAUUCGACAGUCUUCCUGCGGAGCUGUACGAGGAGGAAGGCCCGACCGGACCGAAGGAGAAAAACAACUGGGAUGGUGAUGAGCGGUGCUAGGCCGCGUCGCCUUUGCGGUCUAUCCCUGUUGCUUAUUCAUGUACAUUGUAUGUGGUGAGAAUGUUGGUUGGUACGGUUGAUGUAUUGAUAAAGCUUUGCAAGAGGACUUGGUAGUGCUGGGUAUUUCUAGAUCACAAUUGCAGUGUUGUGCCUACACAAAAAAAGAAAAAGUGCCGCUCUGGCUGUCUAGUUUCUACUACGUCCCAGCAUUUUGCAUUUCCCCAACUAGUUUAUCCGAGGAAGUGAGUAUUACUGAUAUCGUCCACUGAUGAUCUCAACCAGAACCAUUUUGCAUUUCCCCAAUUAGUUCUCCUGAGGAAGUGAUGGUGUACUUUUUUCUUUUUGAGGGAAGGGAUGAUAUCGUCCACUGAAGAACUAAACCAGAACCUACAUACAGGUUGGCGGAAUCGCAAUUUUAUCAUACAAUUCUACAACUUCAUGAUCUAAACCAACUCCUAUGAUAGUAGAAUCUAUUACCCACUCUGUUCAUAAAUAAGAUUUUCUAAUUUUUUCUAAACUAGCAAUGUGUCCGACUGUCCGUGUGUUGCAACAGAUCCAAAGUACUAGAAUAAUACAUGUUCACAAACUUGAAAGAGAAACACUCUAGUUUUGGUAUGUCACUAAAAAUAUACUUGUAUUGUGUUUUCACUCAAAAUAUAUUUUUCGUUACUGUUUUGAUGAGGUGAGGAGGGAUGUCGUUGGUUUCAAGAUACAGUCAUUAGAUGCAGAUCUGAUGAUCAGAAAUGACGAAUGAUAGACACACCAUCAUCACCAAGAGUCUUUUAUAGGAGUAGAGAAAUCAGAUGUAUAUAGAUACAUUACAUUUUAGUGUGUUUGUUUCAUAUUGAAAUAUCCAAAACAUCUUAUAUAUUUGCAAAUAGAGGGAGUAGUUAAGAUCCUACGGUUUGCGUUCCUACCAACGGAGCUCCAUGACAACGAAGAGCUGUGAUCCGAUCCAGGAUCAUGAUUCUGACUACCUUGCAUACAUAUAUCAGAACAGUUUUGAUAGAUAACAAGCACUCGAAUCUGACGCCAAAAAGGAAAGCAAAAUUUCCCCCUUUAUUACCCACGUUAUUUGUGUUCGUUUUCCCAUCAUGCAAGGGGAGAAGCAGUACAGAGUGUUAUACAUACAAAAGCAUCAGAGCUUCGGUUAAUGCCGCCAACUCCUCCCGUGGUGUUCGAUCGCCUGCCGCGUUCCCUCGAAGAAGAAUCCAUGGCCAUUCAGGUCAGGGAACGCGCCCGGCGCUUCUUUCCGUUCAUAUACCCCUCCUAUCCUCCUGUCUGGUGUUGCUACUUACUUGUAUGGUGUGAGUAGACUGGCAGAUCCGGCUACCUUACCUCCCAGCCUCUAUUCUCGGUGGGGGAUUUAAGCUAAUAAGCCUCUCUCUCUAUAUACAGCUCGCCCUGGUGGAGUACUCGGAUACUAGCUGCAUGAACAUGGAGGACUUGUCCUCCACAAGCCUCUG